Molecule: non-coding RNA, 5565 nt
Organism: Sus scrofa (pig)
Lineage: Eukaryota; Metazoa; Chordata; Mammalia; Artiodactyla; Suidae
Source: RefSeq, a predicted model, not a curated record
GUAUGCUGCAGGUGCGGCCCUAAAAAGACAAAAAAGGAAAAAUAGUAAAAUAAAAUAAAACCCUAAAUAAAAUUAUAUUUAACAGAUACCCAGUGCUGAUAAAAACACAGUAUAUUUUAUGGUGAACUGUGGAGGACAGAGCUGGGCACAAAAUUAAAUCUGAAGGGGCAUAGGAAAGGAGAAACUAACAGGCAAUAUCCCAGGUCAAAUCCCUCUUCUUGGAACCACCUGUCAUUUCCUCUGACCCCUAAAGCAUAGUAUAAAGCAGUUACCGCUCAUGCUAUGCCUGCUUGGCUCGUUUUUCUUUGGUAUGGGACACACAAUCCCCACCACUCAUCCACACCCUUUCUCUCUUGUGUCUGGUAUAAGACAGCACUGACUGGUGAGACUGGACAUCCACCUCUCCUCUAAAAGAGAGCUAGAGCUGUGUGGUCAGUGUCUGGGCCCCAGAUUCUAGUCUGCCUAGAUUUCUGAGUCCACUGGUGAGGUCAGGGCAUGCUUCUGGGGGAGCACAGAGUGGACUGACCUGAGAUUGAAGCUUGAAUCUGAACUCUUGGGCAGUGUCUGGAGUUUUGCACAAAAGAGAAUUGAACUGUGGAUCAGCUGGGAGGUUAUUGUGAUAGCCCUGGUGCCCUGCGCCUCCAGGGGACUGGAACCCUGUGGGAGCACAUAGCUGGCAUUUUUUGCUUGAGAUUAGGAAGUCUUUUGCUUCCUCUGUAUAGAGGCCUGAAUUCAAUGGACUGUUGUGGUAGGAUGGAGUCCUUUUUUUUUUUUUUUUUUUUGGUAAAAAUGAAACAGAGGUUUGGCUCCUGUUGUUACGAGAUGAUGGGCAAAUGAGCUGGCUCUCUGGCGUUUGGUGGAAAGCCAGUUUAAAAUCAUGUGGUCACAUUUUUGUCCAACAUCAUCAAGAGCAUAGAGAAGCUGUGAUUCCAGCCUCAGAAGAAUGACCUUUUAUCUCGAUGUGAUUCUCCAAAGACCGUCUUUUUCAAGAAGUAUCAGAGCCCCAUUUCAUAGUAAGUUUCUCUUGACAUUUUGUUUUGGUUGAAGGCAAGGCCCCAAGGACUGAUAUCAUCUGCAGACAGUGGUGUCCAGAGAGCCUUCCCAGGACUGGGAGGACUGAGUGGUGGUGGGUUGGCCGGGCUGAGAGGCAGGACCCUGUGUUUUAUGUCUUUCUGGGCUUCAGUCUGGCUCUCUUUGAAAUGGGCUAAUCAUCUCUCUGCCCUCUUCCUCAUGUCACGAAGGAUGCUGGGAGAUCGUGAGAGUGUAAGUUUUAUAUCCUGUCACGUUUUGUUUUUGCUGAACCUUUUGUCAGCAUAUUCUUUGGAAUCGAAUUUGUCUCGGGUUUGUCUUAGUUUUCUUUCUUUCUUUUUUUUUUUAAGUUUUCUUGAUUUAGAGAAGAAAUCAUAGGCAAACUGAGGAGGGUGGGCUGGGCUUUUCUUCUUUUUCUUUUUUUUUUUUUAGGGCCACACCUACAGCAUAUGGAGGUUCCCAGGCCAGGGGCCACAUCAGAGCUAUAGCUGCUGGCCUACGCCACAGCCACAGCAACGAAGAUCUGAGCUGCACCUGCAACCUACACCACAUCUCACGGCAAUGCUGGAUCCCUAAACCAUUGAGCAAGGCCAGGGAUUGAACCCGUGUCCUCAUGGAUACUAGUUGGUUUUGUUAACCACUGAGCCAUGACAGGAACUCCGAGUGUGGGCUGCUGGGCUUAGAUGUGCAGAACGGUUACGUGAAUGUGUGAAUGAACAUAGAAUUGGUUGGAUGUGAUGAGAAUCCUCAGAAUGACAUACAAAACACAUUCUGAGGACUCUUUCCUUCAGAAACGAAGUAGAUUCUGGCUGCAAAGUAGAUAGUUGAAAUAUAUAGUCCAAAACUGUCUUCCUAACCAGCCAAAUCAUGAAGGCAGGACUUAAAGAAACCACAUGGGAGGAGUGUCAGUCAGCUAGGGGGCUUCAAAGACUUGGGCCAGAGUUAGGAGUCAGAUCCUUGUAAUUUUUGUUUAACAUUCUCCAGAAUGUGGACCAACCCACAAAACCAUCCUCAUGUCAGCAGGCCCAAUUGAAGGACAUGUGUGUUGGAAAUUUCUGUCAUGUUCUUUCUUGCUUUAAUAAACGCAUUUAUGAGUCCAGGGCCUUCUGUAUUUUGGUUAGUCGGUGAUUGUGUCUUUCCUAAGAACCUUGGAUAAGUGUGAUUAUCAUCCUUGGGAGGUUGUGGGAAAGAAAUGGAUUUUUAAUUUAUUUUUAUUUUUAUUUUUUGGCUGCACCCACGGCUUAUGGAAGUUCCCAGGCCAGGGAUCAAACCUGAGACCAGCUACGACCUACACCACAGCUGUGAUAAUGCCAUAUCCUUAACGCUUUGCACCACAGUGGGAACUCCAAGAAGUGGAUAUCCUUAGCAAGCACCCAGAGAACUAAGGCCCAUGACAGGAAGUCAGAAGGAGGGAAAUUUCAUCUCAGACAUGACCAGCCAACAAUGGAAAAGGCUACUUUUCUUUGUUUGUUUUUCUUCUUUUUUCGGCCUUACCCGUGGCAUGUGGAAGUCCCCAGGCCAGGGGCUGAUCCCGAGCCACAGCAGUGACCUGAGCCGCUGCAGUGACACACUGGAUUCUUAACUCACUGCACCACAGGAGAAGUCCUAGAAAAGGCUGCUUUAAAGGGUGAGGUCCCACCUACCCAGAUCUUGUGUUGGACAGGGUAGGAGUAGCACAUGGUAUGCUCGGUGCUUUCCAAUUCUCAAAGAAUAUGCUUUUACCUCCUAGAGUCUCAUCCCUGGGGCAAUGAAUGUCUGAAUUGCUAAAAUCCUUGUAUUUUAUCCUCUGUCUCUAACUCCAUCAAUCAAUGUGUCCAAUUUCUCUUUACAACUGCAGACCCUAUAGACCUACUCUCAGAACAUCUAUGAAUCCUUCCUCCAUGUGGAGCAUAUGAGAGAGUAGGAGAGAACCAGGACCUAUAUUAUACUUUCAGCGGGUGGAUCCACUUGGCUGUGGGCGUCUAGGACGUGGUUCUCAACUUCAGCAAGUUGCAGAAUGGCCAGGAGGGCUGGUUAAACACAGGUUGUUAGCUCCAUCCCCAGCAUUUUCAAUUCAGUAGGUCUGUGGCAGGGCCUGAGAAUGUGCAUUUCUAACAAGUCCUCAGGUAAAGCUGCUGCCACUGGUCCAAAGACCACACUUUGGGAGCCACUGCCUCUGAGACCUAAGCCAGCCUACUCUCAGCAUGGCCCAAGUCUGGAGGGGUGGAUUAAUAAAUUUUAGGGAACAUCUCUGCCAAUCCCUUCUUCUCCUCUUUUAUCAAGGUUCACUCCUCUCUUGGAGUUCCUGCUGUGGCUCAGUGAGUUAAGAACCCAACAUAGUUUCCAUGAGGAUAUGGCUUUGAUUCCUGGCCUUGCUUAGUAGGUUAAGGUUCCAGCAUUGCUGCAAGAUGUGGAGUAGGUAGCAGGGGCAGCAUUGAUCUGCUGUGGCUGUGGCUGUGGUGUAGGCUGGUAGCUGAAGCUCUGAUUAAAUCCCUAGCCUGGGAAUUUCUGUAUGCCAAGGGUAAGGCCCUAAAAAGGAAGAAAAGAAAAAAAAGCUCACUUCUCCCUCCUCGAGAGUCUCAAAGAAAACUCUGACCCAGACCAAGGUGUCCCUGGUCCACAGUACUCUGGGAAGUCAUCCAUGCACUUCCAGGAUUAGAUGUGUCUCCCUGUACCUCUUCUUGAGGGUUCCCACAGACAACGCACUGUUUGUAACAGUAAUUCAUGUGACUUCUUCUUUAACCUCUCUCUCCUCCAGAGACUGUAAGCUCCAUGAGGGCAGGAUUUAAGAACAGUAGGAAAGAGGUGAAGGGGCAGGUGGAGCGCCUAUAGUAGGCUGCCCCCAGGAUUGUGGACGAACAGUUUCUUGUCCUGAAAGAGGUACCUGUUGAUGGGAAGAAGGAAGGAGGUGGUCUGGGACAGUCACGAGGACUCUUGGCUCAGGUCUACUCCUACUCCAUCUGCCACUAACCAGAGGUUUUACCGUCUCUAUUUUUUCCAUCAACUUGGGCAUUCAGUUCCCCCGCCCCAAUUUUAAACACCACAAUGGUUUUACUAGUUCUGAGCUACUUGCUAGCUCUAAGCCUCGGCUACUGCACCCAUAGAAUGAAAAGUUAAAGCUCCAGGUGGGAGGGAUCCAAGUUCAAAACCCAGCUCUGCUUCCGUUGCAUUUCCAUGAGCACCCGACUCAUCCUGUCUAAGCUUCAGCUUCCCUGGAAGUAAGUAAAUGGCCUCUACUUCCUGAUGUUGGUGGGACACUUCUGGAGUCAAUACACAGGGAGUCUUCCACACAGUGCCUGGCACACUUGAGGGCUCCGUGCACACAGGCUGCCAUUGUCAUCACCAUCUUUACCACCCUCUGCACCAUUGUCACCAUUCCUCCCCCCCACCCCAGCUUCUGUGAAGUCCCAGUAGGAUAAAGAACUUCAUAACCAUGAAGCAGUAUCUGCCUGUCAAGGGCACCAAGUGCCCCAGCCGCUGCCCACAAGGCCACAGUAACAUCCUCUUCAUUGGGAACGAGGCCUGCACCCUUCCUUCCAGGCUCUACCCCUUCUAGUCCUUGGCUCCUGAUAUUGUGACAAAUGCAUCUUUUGUCCCUUUCUGUUCUCAGGACUUCAGCUAACCAACUAAAGAACUGCUACCCAGAGCAUUGUUCCCAAGGAAGAAAAGAGCCAAACACUCACCCACACCCGCUUCGUGCCAAGAAUCCGCAGUUGGGUUGCAAGGCAGCAUAUGUUGUCCUUUUGGAAAAAUGAAUGUGAGACCAAGUGAAGAGCCGGCAGAGGUGUCUCAAGUCAUCCCAAGGCAAGCACCCCAACCCCCGCUGCUGAGCACGAAAGAGAAGAAACGAGCCGGGCACAACAGAUGUCCUCCCCACCAUGGGGCAGACCUGCCAGCAAGGAUGGGGGACAGCUACCAAAACGCACAUUCAUCCCCCGCUUAAUGAAAAUAAGGUAAGAAACUUAAGUAUUCUUUCCAUUUCCUCUGUAUUUCUAUAAAAGAGAUAUAUGGUGUGGUAAGUCCCUUGGGGAAUUCAGAUCAUGGUUUUAGAGAGUCAAGCAGCCCUGCAGUGGAUUCCUGGGUGAGGAAGGGCACUUACCACUAAUUGCUCCUACUGGGCCCAGCCCACCCCCACAGGGCAGGGAUUCCUGAGGCUCCCUUCUCAGCCUUUUCUCUGAAGCAAAAUGCUCAACUCAGAGUUGUGUGGCAUGCUGACUAUGGGACAGACCGGGAGACGGAAUGGAAGGACGUCUCCCCUCUUGUCUUUUCCCUGCACAGGAUCAGGCAUGCCAGGCACCCAGCCCCUCCACACUGGAGCAUGGACAAGUUUCAGAUCUGCCCUAGUGGCAUUUCCCAUGUGGUUCUAAAUCAGAGUUUUCUGUGCUAUUUGUGGUGGCCCCCCGCCUUCCCUCCCAUUCCCCAAGCUGGCACUUUACAGUAUCUUUAAAAUUGCAACAAAAGUGGAUCUAAGAGAGUCCCCAUUGUGGCUCAGGGGAAAUGAAUCUGACUAGCAUCCAUGAGGAUGCAGGUUCAAUCCCUGGCCUUGCUCAGUGGGUU